CUUCGGGGGAUGAGUAGAGUGGCGCCCGGGUGUAGUAACACGUAGGUAAUCUACCUUCGGGUGGGGAAUAACGCAGGGAAACUUGCGCUAAUACCGCAUAAUGCAGCGGCACCACAUGGUGACAGUUGUUAAAGCGGGGGAUUUUAGGACCUCGCGCCUGAAGAGGAGCCUGCGGCAGAUUAGCUGGUUGGUAGGGUAACGGCUUACCAAGGCGACGAUCUGUAGCCGGCCUGAGAGGGCGGUCGGCCACACUGACACUGACAUACGGGUCAGACUCCUACGGGAGGCAGCAGUCGGGAAUUUUGGGCAAUGGGCGAAAGCCUGACCCAGCAACGCCGCGUGAAGGAUGAAAUCCUUCGGGAUGUAAACUUCGCAAGAAUGGGAAGAAUUAGUAGGGGCUAAUACCCUCUAUGAUGACGGUACCAUUUGUAAGCUCCGGCUAACUCCGUGCCAGCAGCCGCGGUAAUACGGGGGGAGCAAGCGUUGUUCGGAUUUACUGGGCGUAAAGGGCGCGUAGGCGGUCAGCACAAGUCAGUUGUGAAAUCUCCGGGCUUAACUCGGAAAGGUCAACUGAUACUGUGCGACUAGAGUGCAGAAGGGGCAACUGGAAUUCUCGGUGUAGCGGUGAAAUGCGUAGAUAUCGAGAGGAACACCUGCGGCGAAGGCGGGUUGCUGGGCUGACACUGACGCUGAUGCGCGAAAGCCAGGGGAGCGAACGGGAUUAGAUACCCCGGUAGUCCUGGCCUUAAACGAUGGAUGCUUGGUGUCUGGAGUUUUAUAGUCUCCGGGUGCCGUAGCUAACGCGUUAAGCAUCCCGCCUGGGGAGUACGGUCGCAAGACUGAAACUCAAAGGAAUUGACGGGGACCC
RNAcentral lists this ribosomal RNA (868 nucleotides) under uncultured Bacillota bacterium. Its description in RNAcentral is "bacterial SSU rRNA". It matches the Rfam family "Bacterial small subunit ribosomal RNA", at positions 77 to 922 of the family's 1533-position model. The record is from RNAcentral. Lineage: Bacteria; Bacillati; Bacillota.